RNAcentral lists this ribosomal RNA (1374 nucleotides) under Prolepsis tristis. RNAcentral's name for it is "eukaryotic LSU rRNA". It matches the Rfam family "Eukaryotic large subunit ribosomal RNA", at positions 693 to 1897 of the family's 3401-position model. The record is from RNAcentral. Lineage: Eukaryota; Metazoa; Arthropoda; Insecta; Diptera; Asilidae.
AUUGGGUUUUAAAACCUAAAGGCAUAAUUAACUUAACUGUUUGUAAUGGGAUCAAUUAUAUAUAUAAUAUAAUAUAUAUAUUCCAUCCCGGGGCGUUCUAUAUAGUUAUGCAUUUUAAUAUAUUUUUAUAUAUUAUAUUUGCCUCUAACUAGAGCGUACCUUGAGCAUAUAUGUUGUGACCCGAAAGAUGGUGAACUAUACCUGAUCAGGUUGAAGUCAGGGGAAACCCUGAUGGAGGACCGAAGCAGUUCUGACGUGCAAAUCGAUUGUCAGAAUUGGGUAUAGGGGCGAAAGACUAAUCGAACCAUCUAGUAGCUGGUUCCCUCCGAAGUUUCCCUCAGGAUAGCUGGUGCAUUUAAAUAUUAUAUAAAAUAAUCUUAUCUGGUAAAGCGAAUGAUUAGAGGCCUUAGGGCCGAAACGACCUUAACCUAUUCUCAAACUUUAAAUGGGUAAGAACCUCACCUUUCUUGAUAUGAAGGUUGUGGUUUUGAUAUAUUGUGCCCAGUGGGCCACUUUUGGUAAGCAGAACUGGCGCUGUGGGAUGAACCAAACGUGAUGUUACGGCGCCCAAAUUAACAACUCAUACUGAUACCAUGAAAGGCGUUGGUUGCUUAAAACAGCAGGACGGUGGACAUGGAAGUCGUAAUCCGCUAAGGAGUGUGUAACAACUCACCUGCCGAAGCAACUAGCCCUUAAAAUGGAUGGCGCUCAAGUUGUAUGCCUAUACAUCACCGCUAAAGUAUAUGAUUUAUAUUAAUUUAUAAUUUUUAUAAAUUUUGAAACUCUAGUGAGUAGGAGGGUACAAUGGUGUGCGUAGAAGUGUUUGGCGUAAGCCUGCAUGGAGCCGCCAUUGGUACAGAUCUUGGUGGUAGUAGCAAAUAAUCGAAUGAGACCUUGGAGGACUGAAGUGGAGAAGGGUUUCGUGUGAACAGUGGUUGAUCACGAGUUAGUCGGUCCUAAGUUCAAGGCGAAAGCCGAAAAUUUAAGUUAUAUUUAACAUAUAUAUUUUAUAAAUAUAAUAUACUUAUAAUUUUUAGAACGAAAGGGAAUACGGUUCCAAUUCCGUAACCUGUUGAGUAUACGUUUGUUAUUAAAAAUGGGCUUUAAUGCUCAUCCUGGUAACAGAAACAACCAUAAAGAAGCCGUCGAGAGGUAUCGAAAGAGUUUUCUUUUCUGUUUUAUAGUCGUACUACCAUGGAAUUCUUUCGAAGAGAGAUAUGGUAGAUGGGCUAGAAGAGCAUGGCAUUUACUGCUGUGUCGAUAUUUUCUCCUCGGACCUUGAAAAUUUAUGGUGGGGUAACGCAAACUUCUCAACAGGCCGUACCGAUAUCCGCAGCAGGUCUCCAAGGUGAAGAGCCUCUAGUCGAUAGAAUA